CAGCCCCACAGGUGGUGUCAGCUCGGUGAGAAGGUUCCAGCCAGGGUAGGCAGUGGAGCGCCGCGCAACGCGCCUUCCUGCCUCCCGGCUGCGGGCCCCAACAGUUCCGACCCGGCGCCAGCAGGCCUGCUCGGUCGAUCUUCGAGCUGAAGAUGCGGCGGGGCUGGAAGAUGGCUCUGUCCGCGGCGCUGCGGUGCUGCCGCCGGGUACUUUCUUGGGUGCCAGUGCUUGUUAUCGUCCUCGUCGUGCUCUGGUCUUAUUAUGCCUACGUCUUUGAACUCUGCCUGGUUACUGUUUUGAGCUCAGCAGAAAAAGUUAUCUACCUCAUAUUCUACCAUGCCAUCUUUGUGUUCUUUACCUGGACCUACUGGAAGUCUAUUUUUACACUCCCUCAACAGCCAAACCAGAAGUUCCACUUAUCCUAUACAGACAAGGAGCGCUAUGAAAAUGAAGAGAGACCUGAGGUCCAAAAACAGAUGCUUGUUGAUAUUGCCAAGAAGCUACCAGUUUACACAAGAACCGGAAGUGGAGCUGUAAGAUUCUGUGACCGGUGCCAAUUGAUCAAGCCAGAUCGCUGCCACCACUGCUCUGUCUGUGCUAUGUGUGUAUUAAAAAUGGACCAUCACUGCCCUUGGGUUAAUAAUUGCAUUGGAUUUUCCAACUAUAAAUUCUUCCUUCAGUUCUUAGCUUAUUCUGUUCUCUACUGCCUGUACAUUGCUACAACGGUCUUCAGCUAUUUCAUCAAAUACUGGAGAGGGGAAUUGCCAAGUGUCCGCUCUAAGUUCCAUGUCCUUUUUCUCCUCUUUGUGGCCUGCAUGUUUUUUGUCAGCCUUGUGAUUCUCUUUGGUUACCAUUGUUGGCUUGUCAGCAGAAACAAAACCACCUUAGAGGCCUUCUGUACUCCAGUGUUUACAAGUGGCCCAAAGAAAAAUGGGUUCAACCUUGGCUUCAUAAAAAAUAUCCAGCAGGUUUUUGGAGACAACAAGAAGUUCUGGUUAAUACCUAUUGGGUCCAGCCCUGGUGAUGGACACUCCUUCCCUAUGAGGUCUAUGAAUGAGUCACAGAAUCCACUGCUAGCAAAUGAAGAGGCCUGGGAAGACAAUGAUGAUCACAACCGAGAUUAUUCAGACGGUUCAUCAUCUCUUGCGGUGGAAACAGAAACGUAGCAGUUUUCACAUUUCCUGCAUCUCUAAGACAGGUCACUGGGCUCAGAUGCAGUUUGUACUGCCCACUCCUGCAAGAAUGCUCUCUAAAUCUCUUUGUUCCUACUGGCUGAAGGGAGUGCCAUUCCACAACCUGAUUUCUCCCCUCUCCGGGCUGAGCCCCACAGAUCAUCUGUCUCCCAUGAAGCUUAUAGAGGUCAAUGUUGAGAACCAUUCUAAUCUUCAAAAUAAGUCACCAUGGCGGAUUGAAAGCUUCACUAUAUGAAAGCAUUUUAUCAAAUACGUGCUGUGAAAAUAGGUGUUUCAGAACUUUACAAGUCAUUUAAUUUGCUGACUGCAUUCAUCAAUCUGGUAGCAGUUAAUACCAUCCAGUCUUCCUCUAUUUCUCCCCCCACCCUCUGCCCGCCUCAAUCUGUGAAAGCCUAAAUGCAUAUAAAUCUUUCUAGGGGCUAUUUGCAUUCUUCUUAUAAGGUAAAGCAGAAUUCAAAAGACUUUCUUGGAGUCUUUAACUGCCCUGGAAAGUCUAUUAAUUAUAUCUAUAGGGUCUUUGUGGAAUUGAGGGGAAUCAGACUACAGACUACAUUUGCUGCUUGUGUGCAUGUGCAUUUACAAGCAUGCAUAUAUGUAG
Pteronotus mesoamericanus is the source of this 1791-nucleotide RNA transcript. It is a transcript of the gene named zinc finger DHHC-type palmitoyltransferase 15, with no coding region annotated. The transcript is spliced from 13 exons. Lineage: Eukaryota; Metazoa; Chordata; Mammalia; Chiroptera; Mormoopidae. The record is from RefSeq and is a predicted model, not a curated record.